GUGUUGAAUUACAGACCUCGACAAAAACGUCUUCUCAACUUGCUUGAUGUAGUGCUGAAAUCUUCACACGAUUGGAUGAUAUUGAUGUUUCUUUAAGAUGAAAUGGACUACUAGUCCAAGAAUAUUUCGCUUUGCAAAGCUACUUUAAUAUUGUAUCAAUCACGUCUAUCUAUUUAGUCAAUAAUUUCAUUGUCUAUAAUCCUUAAUAGACUUUGAUUCAUGAUCCUCAUUAUUUCUUGUAAUAUAUAGCGCUAUAAUAUAUAAAUAAUCAUCGUCAACGUUGAUUUUC
Molecule: long non-coding RNA, 289 nt
Organism: Trifolium pratense (red clover)
Lineage: Eukaryota; Viridiplantae; Streptophyta; Magnoliopsida; Fabales; Fabaceae
Exons: 2
Source: RefSeq, a predicted model, not a curated record